GCCAAGUUGGCGGAGCGGCCACGCGGCUGCCUGCAGAGCAGCUCUACUCCCGUUCAAAUCGGGAACUUGGCU
Molecule: transfer RNA, 72 nt
Filed under: Methanocorpusculum sp.
Lineage: Archaea; Methanobacteriati; Methanobacteriota; Methanomicrobia; Methanomicrobiales; Methanocorpusculaceae
Also listed under: 2 other names
Description: tRNA-Cys
Source: RNAcentral